RNAcentral lists this ribosomal RNA (200 nucleotides) under uncultured bacterium. Its description in RNAcentral is "partial 16S ribosomal RNA". It matches the Rfam family "Bacterial small subunit ribosomal RNA", at positions 29 to 245 of the family's 1533-position model. The record is from RNAcentral.
AACGAACGCUGGCGGCAUGCCUAAUACAUGCAAGUCGAACGAAGGCCUGACUUCGGUUGGGUCCUUAGUGGCGCACGGGUGCGUAACGCGUGGGAAUCUGCCCCUUGGUUCGGAAUAACAGUUGGAAACGACUGCUAAUACCGGAUGAUGACGAAAGUCCAAAGAUUUAUCGCCAAGGGAUGAGCCCGCGUAGGAUUAGC